Molecule: long non-coding RNA, 544 nt
Organism: Gorilla gorilla gorilla (western lowland gorilla)
Lineage: Eukaryota; Metazoa; Chordata; Mammalia; Primates; Hominidae
Exons: 6
Source: RefSeq, a predicted model, not a curated record
AAACAGAGAGCAUUAUUUGGUUUAAUUGAUUCAAAAACACCAGAGGACCACGACCAGGACACCAUGAGCCCCCAUUCCUACACGCGUGCCUCACAUGCUCUCUCCCCAAUGCCUCCGUUUCUCCAGAAAAGCUAGAGGAAUCUUUUCCUCAUACCCUUCGAAGGAAAAGAUGAGUGAGGAUCUCCGCGUUGGAGGAAGAGGGAGUCGAAAGAGGCUUCCACUCUUUGAAAAAGGCUUCCAUGCUUCUCUGUGACAUCCCCCAAAAACAGGCAGAGUCUAAGAUGUGCAUGUACCCACUCAAGCCUCAAGCUUGUAUCUGUAUCCAUAUCCAGGGACAUGAACAAGAACUGAGACCCAAUGGUGGUUGGGCUUCGGGUCACGUGACACAUUCUUUGUAGCUCCGGAAGAGGAUUGUGAAGUUUAGGGAUAAUUGAGGAAAAAAAAAUCAAGAUUUGGGGGGAAUUACCUACAAAGAUGUAAGGUGUGUUAAUUUGGGCGCUUCUUGGAUUCUACCCUGAGGAGGAGGCGCGUGGUGAGAGGAGAG